This is a long non-coding RNA of Oncorhynchus mykiss (rainbow trout), 1563 nucleotides long. RefSeq lists it as uncharacterized. NCBI's taxonomy places the organism in Eukaryota, Metazoa, Chordata, Actinopteri, Salmoniformes, Salmonidae. The record is from RefSeq and is a predicted model, not a curated record.
CCAAACCAGUUGUUUUUAUUCAUAAUCCGGUUAUGAAUAAAGAACAUUGUAAGAUUUAGCUUGCUGGACAUUCAUGGAGUGAUCAUGCUCCCGGGUACUGUUCUUAUCUCAGGUUGUCUUGUGACUUUCUAGCAGCUAGUUGCCCUACUAGUGCAAAUUAUGUUGUAUCGUGUGCUCCAACUCUAGAUUAAGUUAUUGGUUGAAAACGCGUGUACACCUGAAGAGAAGAGCUGCACUGAAAAGACGCCACAGGGGCCUUCAUACUGUCUGGAGCAGUUGGCUGACCUGUCUCAUGAGGAUGAACAAGAGCAGAGGAUGCAUGGCCAGCAUAACAAAUAUGGAAAAAAGAUUGGUAGACUCAUGAUGAAUGUUUGAUCUCUGAAGAAUGAGCCUGAGUAUCUGAGUGCAUGCCAGUAUGUCAUCGACGAGCAGGAGGAGGAUCUGCUGGAUUCCACCAAAGACCUGUUCCUUGGAAAAUGAGAGAAUAUCUUCCUCCAACACUCCCAAAGAAAGAUGUGGGAGACUGGCCACAACAGGGCUGAGUCGAGGACUCUACAUGGGGAAAGAGACAUGCCACUGAGGAAGCUGGUAGAAGCAGAGAUUGAUGGGGUGGCAGUGGCCACACAGUUGACAGCCCUGAAUGAGGCUAUGGGUGGCGUGAAAAAGGUGAGCUGCACUCUGAGAAUUCUUCAGGGAGUGCCAUGAACAAGAGGUACUCUCCCCAAUACAUGGACUUGCUUAGAUUGACAAGGUAUCAGUGUCUUUGCAGGAAAAUGGAAAAUGACAAUAAGAAUUGUGGUCUUAUAUUUUGAUUGGAAGAACAACAAUGAUUUAAUAUUGCAGAUAGAUUGUAGGUUCUAUCAUUUUAAUUGUUUGCAUAAUUUCCAAUCCCUUAUUUGAAAUGUUUUCCCUUUAUACUCUUCUCUACCAUCCCUACCCUAAUUGUAGUAAACUAACUGACAACAAUACUUUUACUGCUACUUACAGCUAUUUCGGUCACAUCUACAGUACAUGUAGUUAAAUCAUUAAAUAUUCAGAAUCUCCUCUCUUCAAGUGCUGGAUUUUCACCCACAACAGCCAAUCCACCAUUCAUUCAGAUCUUAACUCCAACCCACCGAUGUCCACAGAUUAACCCAUCUUUCCCAGUAUAAUGCCAUUUUGCUAUUUCCUUUUGCAAUACAUCCCUCCAUUUUACUAUGAUGUCUUACUGGGGUUCCUGAAACUCCCUAUUUGUAAAAAUGUAUACCGAUAUUGCCUUAAAAAUAAAUGUUUUACCCAAGAGUAUAAUGAUAUUUUCCAUAACAAUGCAGUUUGCAGGUCAAUCUGAACUCUGAUAUUAUGACAUAACAACCAUUCCUGGACCUGACUCCAUAAGCGAGCCACCGAUGGACAGUACCAGAAAAUAUGUUCUAUUGAUUCUGUUUCCUCGUGCACAAGGCUGACUGUUCAAUGCCCCAUAUAUUGAGCAUUCUUAAAACAUUUUUUUUCUAUUAAUUGAUAGACAGAAUCAUUGAGGACAUCAAAGCAGAGGCAAGGCCUACUGGAGAGACUGGCGGACAAAGA